CUUCAGGUACAUGCUAAAACAGAAAAUACAAAGAACUUGGAAAAAUGAAACGUGGAAGGAGGAGAGGCUGAUCCUUCAUAUAAUCACACUUCUUAAAGGUCACGGGGCACAAUUUUCCUCUCUGGGGGAUGGGGAAGGUAAGAGUAGUGGUGGAGCUCUCUGCCUUAAGACCGACUAUCUUCAAUCAGAAGAAAAACAAAAUUAUAUGAAAGGAGAUCAAUUCCCUGGCACAUAUCAUGGUCCACUGUGUGGAGGUUGAAAUCUAACCAAAAUAGAAAUAGUAAAAUUCCCUGGUUAGGCUUUUAUUUCCUUAAUCACUGACUAGGGGCGAUAAGCACCAGAACUCACGUGGCUACGCUAAGCAUUCCUAAAAUGAAAACAGCAUACUGCUCCUUCCAACCAGCAUAUCAGCAUGCCACUGAUGUAAACAAAAGAAAAACACGAAUUCAUCACAAAAGAUAAGGAUAGGCACUGAAAUACACAACAUUAAAGUCAAGAAAAUUCUACUUAUAGAAAACACACAUGGGAAAAAUGUUUGCAACACUUUAACCACCAAAAGAGAUGGACAUAUAAAUCCCAACAAAUUCAGAAAAAUGGAGGGGGAGGGGAGAGGACAAUUUACAAGUAUUUCUAAUGUCCAGUUAACACCUGAGAAGAGCUUAACUUCUGCACCAUUGGAGGCAUCAGUAUUAAAACUACAAAGAAGUCGAAAGAGGGCAGAUCAGCAAAUAUGAAAAUGUCUCAAAUCCUCAACAUUCGGGGGGCUGGGCAAAUGAUAUUGGUCUCACUUGCACAGAAAGUUCUCAUGCAGCGUCCACGAGGCCGGAACACACACGAACGGCCAGUAGCAAUUCUAUUGACAGCAGUUCCCACCUGUGCCCCAAAUAACUGGGCAGGGAUCUUUAGGGCUUCGCGACCCGCGGUGGCCUCACAGUGACACAGAAAUGCCCCCUCCCCAGGCUGGAUCAAGGGAGGUGCACACAGUAACCAGCUGUGAAGGCCAAGCCAUCACACCUUCCUGGUCCGCAUGGGCGCCAUGUGCAGACUCACAGUGCCCUGGUCCUCUCGGCCCCUCGGGGUCUGCAGGACUUUGCGGGGGCAGAUGACCACGAACCUAUAAAUUCGUGAACCGCUGGGAGCCUAAAUCGUCCUCGUCCACAGGGGACACAGAAUUCAAGGGAGAGGAGGAGUCGGAAAAGAGAUCCUGGGAUAACAUCACGGCACUGUCAGGAAGCAGAACCGGAAA
This is a non-coding RNA of Odocoileus virginianus texanus, 1246 nucleotides long. Lineage: Eukaryota; Metazoa; Chordata; Mammalia; Artiodactyla; Cervidae. The record is from RefSeq and is a predicted model, not a curated record.